AUUGAACGCUGGCGGCAUGCUUUACACAUGCAAGUCGAACGGCAGCGCGGGCUUCGGCCUGGCGGCGAGUGGCGAACGGGUGAGUAAUGCAUCGGAACGUGCCCAGUAGUGGGGGAUAGCCCGGCGAAAGCCGGAUUAAUACCGCAUACGACCUGAGGGUGAAAGCGGGGGACCGAAAGGCCUCGCGCUAUUGGAUCGGCCGAUGUCGGAUUAGCUAGUUGGUGGGGUAAAGGCUUACCAAGGCGACGAUCCGUAGCUGGUCUGAGAGGACGACCAGCCACACUGGGACUGAGACACGGCCCAGACUCCUACGGGAGGCAGCAGUGGGGAAUUUUGGACAAUGGGGGAAACCCUGAUCCAGCCAUGCCGCGUGCGGGAAGAAGGCCUUCGGGUUGUAAACCGCUUUUGUUCGGGAAGAAAUCCUCUGGGCUAAUACCCCGGGGGGAUGACGGUACCGGAAGAAUAAGCACCGGCUAACUACGUG
Molecule: ribosomal RNA, 484 nt
Filed under: uncultured bacterium
Lineage: Bacteria
Description: partial 16S ribosomal RNA
Rfam family: Bacterial small subunit ribosomal RNA
Source: RNAcentral